UACGUAGGGUGCAAGCGUUGUCCGGAAUUAUUGGGCGUAAAGAGCUCGUAGGCGGUCAGUCGCGUCUGCUGUGAAAACUCGGGGCUUAACCCCGGGCCUGCAGUGGGUACGGGCUGACUAGAGUGCGGUAGGGGAGACUGGAAUUCCUGGUGUAGCGGUGAAAUGCGCAGAUAUCAGGAGGAACACCGGUGGCGAAGGCGGGUCUCUGGGCCGUAACUGACGCUGAGAAGCGAAAGCAUGGGGAGCGAACAGG
RNAcentral lists this ribosomal RNA (253 nucleotides) under uncultured bacterium. RNAcentral's name for it is "partial 16S ribosomal RNA". It matches the Rfam family "Bacterial small subunit ribosomal RNA", at positions 524 to 776 of the family's 1533-position model. The record is from RNAcentral.